GACGAACGCUGGCGGCGUGCUUAACACAUGCAAGUCGAACGGAAAGGCCCUGCUUUUGUGGGGUGCUCGAGUGGCUAACGGGUGAGUAACACGUGAGUAACCUGCCCUUUACUUUGGGAUAACUUCAGUAAACUGGGGCUAAUACCGGAUAUGAGCUCCUGCUGCAUGGUGGGGGUUGGAAAGUUUCGGCGGUUGGGGUUGGACUCGCGGCUUAUCAGCUUGUUGGUGGGGUAGUGGCUUACCAAGGCUUUGACGGGUAGCCGGCCUGAGAGGGUGACCGGCCACAUUGGGACUGAGAUACGGCCCAGACGCCUACGGGAGGCAGCAGUGGGGAAUAUUGCACAAUGGGCGGAAGCCUGAUGCAGCAACGCCGCGUGCGGGAUGACGGCCUUCGGGUUGUAAACCGCUUUCGCCUGUGACGAAGCGUGAGUGACGGUAAUGGGUAAAGAAGCACCGGCUAACUACGUG
Molecule: ribosomal RNA, 468 nt
Filed under: uncultured bacterium
Lineage: Bacteria
Description: partial 16S ribosomal RNA
Rfam family: Bacterial small subunit ribosomal RNA
Source: RNAcentral